RNAcentral lists this long non-coding RNA (381 nucleotides) under Homo sapiens (human). RNAcentral describes it as "HSALNT0214069". The record is from RNAcentral. Lineage: Eukaryota; Metazoa; Chordata; Mammalia; Primates; Hominidae.
ACUUUCUGGGAAAGAAGGAAUAAGAAGCUGGAUUGGCAGAAAGAUCAAUGUGGUUUUCCCUAGAGCUUCCUGGGCAGAGCACAGAAAAGGCUGGAGGUUGCCUAUGGAGAACUACAAAUUGAAGAGUUUCUUAAUCAGUCCACUGUUCACUUGAUUCCCAGACACAGACAACAUGAGUUUAAUUAUCCGGAGACAUUUCAAAGGAUGUUGAUGUUUCAUGAUGGGAAAACGGCUACUUCUACAAAGAAUUGAUCUUUCUGAAUAGAAAGAAGGUCAUUCCUAAGGUCCAUAUUUCAUAUCAUUUCACUUUUCUGCUUCCAAGUAUUUAAAGAAAAAUAGGAGGACCAAAGGUAAUAAUGUAUCAAGCAUUUUCUAGGUAGA